Molecule: ribosomal RNA, 490 nt
Filed under: uncultured bacterium
Lineage: Bacteria
Description: bacterial SSU rRNA
Rfam family: Bacterial small subunit ribosomal RNA
Source: RNAcentral
AUUGAACGCUGGCGGCGUGCUUAACACAUGCAAGUCGAUCGGUAACAGGUGUAGCAAUACAUGCUGACGAGAGGCGGACGGGUGAGUAAUGCUUGGGAAUCUGCCUAUUAGUGGGGGACAACCCGGGGAAACUCGGGCUAAUACCGCAUACGCUCUACGGAGGAAAGCCGGGGACCGCAAGGCCUGGCGCUAAUAGAUGAGCCCAAGUCGGAUUAGCUAGUUGGUAGGGAACGGCCUACCAAGGCGACAAUCCGUAGCUGGUCUGAGAGGACGACCAGCCACACCGGAACUGAGACACGGUCCGGACUCCUACGGGAGGCAGCAGUGGGGAAUAUUGGACAAUGGGGGCAACCCUGAUCCAGCGACGCCGCGUGGGUGAAGAAGGCCUGCGGGUUGUAAAGCCCUUUCAGUAGGGAAAGAAAAGCCGAGUGCUAAUAUCACUCGGUCUUGACGUUACUUACAGAAGAAGCACCGGCUAACUCCGUGCCAG